GCUGUUAGUAGAUCCAUUGAA
This is a non-coding RNA of Caenorhabditis elegans, 21 nucleotides long. The record is from Ensembl. NCBI's taxonomy places the organism in Eukaryota, Metazoa, Nematoda, Chromadorea, Rhabditida, Rhabditidae.